GCUGGGUGCUGUGGUGUGUGCCUAUAGUCCCAGCUACUCAGGAGGCUGAAGCGGGAGAAUCACUUGAGUCCAGGAGUUCCGGACUGUAGUGUGCCAUGCUGAUCGAUGUCUGCACUAAGUUCAGCAUCAAUAUGGUGUCCUCUUUGAGCAAGAGAUCACCAGGUUGCCUAAGGAUAGUGAACCAGUAUAGGCUGGAAACAGCAGGACAGAACUUUCAUGCUGAUCAGUAGUGGAAUCAUGCUUGUGAAUAGCCACUGCACUUUAAGCUGGGCAACAUAGCAAGACCUUGUCUCUA
Molecule: unclassified non-coding RNA, 295 nt
Organism: Callithrix jacchus (white-tufted-ear marmoset)
Lineage: Eukaryota; Metazoa; Chordata; Mammalia; Primates; Cebidae
Rfam family: Metazoan signal recognition particle RNA
About the family: The signal recognition particle (SRP) is a universally conserved ribonucleoprotein. It is involved in the co-translational targeting of proteins to membranes.
Source: Ensembl